Molecule: ribosomal RNA, 975 nt
Filed under: Acinetobacter baumannii
Lineage: Bacteria; Pseudomonadati; Pseudomonadota; Gammaproteobacteria; Moraxellales; Moraxellaceae
Description: bacterial SSU rRNA
Rfam family: Bacterial small subunit ribosomal RNA
Source: RNAcentral
GGACCUAGCGGCGGACGGGUGAGUAAUGCUUAGGAAUCUGCCUAUUAGUGGGGGACAACAUCUCGAAAGGGAUGCUAAUACCGCAUACGUCCUACGGGAGAAAGCAGGGGAUCUUCGGACCUUGCGCUAAUAGAUGAGCCUAAGUCGGAUUAGCUAGUUGGUGGGGUAAAGGCCUACCAAGGCGACGAUCUGUAGCGGGUCUGAGAGGAUGAUCCGCCACACUGGGACUGAGACACGGCCCAGACUCCUACGGGAGGCAGCAGUGGGGAAUAUUGGACAAUGGGGGGAACCCUGAUCCAGCCAUGCCGCGUGUGUGAAGAAGGCCUUAUGGUUGUAAAGCACUUUAAGCGAGGAGGAGGCUACUUUAGUUAAUACCUAGAGAUAGUGGACGUUACUCGCAGAAUAAGCACCGGCUAACUCUGUGCCAGCAGCCGCGGUAAUACAGAGGGUGCGAGCGUUAAUCGGAUUUACUGGGCGUAAAGCGUGCGUAGGCGGCUUAUUAAGUCGGAUGUGAAAUCCCCGAGCUUAACUUGGGAAUUGCAUUCGAUACUGGUGAGCUAGAGUAUGGGAGAGGAUGGUAGAAUUCCAGGUGUAGCGGUGAAAUGCGUAGAGAUCUGGAGGAAUACCGAUGGCGAAGGCAGCCAUCUGGCCUAAUACUGACGCUGAGGUACGAAAGCAUGGGGAGCAAACAGGAUUAGAUACCCUGGUAGUCCAUGCCGUAAACGAUGUCUACUAGCCGUUGGGGCCUUUGAGGCUUUAGUGGCGCAGCUAACGCGAUAAGUAGACCGCCUGGGGAGUACGGUCGCAAGACUAAAACUCAAAUGAAUUGACGGGGGCCCGCACAAGCGGUGGAGCAUGUGGUUUAAUUCGAUGCAACGCGAAGAACCUUACCUGGCCUUGACAUACUAGAAACUUUCCAGAGAUGGAUUGGUGCCUUCGGGAAUCUAGAUACAGGUGCUGCAUGGCUGUCGUCAG